This is a long non-coding RNA of Sitodiplosis mosellana (orange wheat blossom midge), 739 nucleotides long. RefSeq lists it as uncharacterized. Lineage: Eukaryota; Metazoa; Arthropoda; Insecta; Diptera; Cecidomyiidae. The transcript is spliced from 3 exons. The record is from RefSeq and is a predicted model, not a curated record.
AGAUCAUGGGCGAUUGAAUACAAUAUUCAAAACAGGGCAUUAUCGGCACUUCUGAAAAUUUUGAUUACAUUCGGUUCAAGAAACCUGCCAAGUGACAGCAGGUCUCUCCUUAGAACUCCACGCUCUAUUCAAAUUGAAAAUACAGCUGGCGGACAAUACUGGUACAACGGAAUCGGAAAUUGUUUGAGAAACGUUUUUGGAAAAUUGAAUUCGAAUAUAACUUUAGAAUUGAAUUUCAACGUCGAUGGCCUACCGUUGUUUAAAAGUUCUCCAGUUACAUUCUGGCCGAUUUUGGCAAAUAUACAUGGAAUGUCCGAUGUCAAGCCUAUGGUAAUAGGUAUCUGGAGUGGAAUUGGGAAACCAAAGGAUUUAACAGAUUUCCUACAGCCUCUUGUGAGCGACAUCGACACUGUAAUUAGAAAUGGUGUUAUGAUCAAUGAGUAUAGAAUUGAUAUAGUCAUUAGAUGCUUCCUGUGCGACUCGCCAGCACGAUCAUUUAUAAAAGGUAUAGCAUAUUUCAACAGCAAAUACGGAUGUCAAAAAUGUUAUUGCAUUGGCGUGUUUGAUAAGAAUGCACGGCGUAUGCAUUUUGCGGAAUUCAACAAACCGAAACGCACGAAUAAUCAGUUCCUCAACAGAUUCCAAAAAGAACACCACCGAGAAGAAUCAAUUCUCCAAGAUUUGAAGAAUCUGAAUGGAGAACCACUGAUUGAUAUGAUCAAACAAUUCCCGACGUCGG